RNAcentral lists this unclassified non-coding RNA (465 nucleotides) under Hevea brasiliensis (rubber tree). Lineage: Eukaryota; Viridiplantae; Streptophyta; Magnoliopsida; Malpighiales; Euphorbiaceae. The record is from RNAcentral.
CUUUAAUAUAAAAAUAAUUAAAAAAAAAGGUUGUAUCUUAUCUACGUUACAAGUACAUCAAUGUCAUCAGUAACAUUUUAAAUAUGAACACCGAUUUACAAACAACACAAGCUGCAAACAGAAUUGAGGGGAAACACAAGCACGAUAAAUCUUUACAAUCACCCCAAUGAAGCGUUCGUGCAUUCUAAGCAUUUAUUCACCAUUUCAACCAUCGAGCAUAGCUGAAGUACAAACAUUCUCCUCCUAUUAAACAUGGCAGCUCAAUAUUAAAUCAAUGGAAAUGCCAAUAUCAUACAUCUUCUUUAACACAUCAGCUAGCACCCAUAAUUUCAUGACAGUCGAAUAUUUCUCUCAGUGCAUCAGAAAUCUUGGUGCUUCAUCACCACUAGCCUUUAAAGCAUUAGCUUCUCAUGAAUUAACUAUUCCUUCCUGCUUGAUCGAUCAAGGUGCCAACUUGAUUUCCAC